Molecule: long non-coding RNA, 1392 nt
Filed under: Brassica napus (rape)
Lineage: Eukaryota; Viridiplantae; Streptophyta; Magnoliopsida; Brassicales; Brassicaceae
Description: long non-coding RNA (BNAP_LNC006051)
Source: RNAcentral
UUGUAGACAAAGCUUUCAUCACGGCCUAGAGAGAGAGAGAGAGAGAGAGGGUUGAAUCGUGAGAGGUUGAUUUGAGUCAAGCUCUGUGUGUAGAUCUUGUGACUUUGUGAUUUUAGGUUUAUCACGAUUCGAAUACAGAGAGCUUUGGUGUGUUUCAAAAAAAAAAGAAAAAAAGGGAGAGCUUUGGUAGUCUUGUUUUUUCCGUGAUGUAUUCGGAGAAGUAAAGGAAAUGAAUUGGGCAAGUGUUUUGCGAAGUAUUUUUUUUUUUAUUUUGGCGGAUAAAAUUAAAAUUUUAGCACAAAAUUGUUACCUUAAACAAAAUCCGCGUCUUUUAUUUCUCUUUUUAAUAAAAUUUGAUCCUAGCACUAAUUUAGUGCUACGAUAAAGUUGUUGUCCGAAAUUGCUACUUUUAAUAGCAGUUGGUGAAUUAGUGCUACCGCGAACUGCUACCAAUACUCAUAUUUCUUGUAAUGAAUUUUAUUUGGAUAUUUGGUUUUUGGAUUUUAAAAUUAAAAUCCAUGUGAGUAUUAUAAAUUUUUGGACGGGGUUUGAGUCUCUUUCCGGGUCUGGGUAGGUUCGUAAGAAAUUAAAAUAUCCAAAUAACCUAUGGAUUUAAAAAAAUCAUUAAAAUUGUAUAAAAAAAAAUCAAAAUCAAAACUCGCGCGGGUGCGCGGAUCAAACUCUAGUUUGUUUUUAUAAUACAUAUACUUAAUAUACAUAUAACCACUAAAUUAGUCUAUAAAAAUCAGAUUUCAUUUACAUUUUUGGUAGUUCAUUACAUUGCAGUUGCACAAGACAGUCAUAUGCCUAUGGCCCAUUAAGUUAAGUCCAAAAAUUUUGAUAUUUGUUUUUAUAAUACAUGUACUUAACCUAAAGAGAAAUUUCCUCAGAUAACAAUUUUUAAUUUUUUUUGUCACAAAAAUAGUCCUCAAUGAGGUAAAUGACCAAAAGAAGUUUUAUUAAAGGAUAAAAAUACAUUUACACCGUAGGGUUAACUAAUCUAGACUUAGAGUUUAGAGUUAAGGUGUGAGGUUUUGAUGACAAGAUUUCAAAAUUUUAAAAAUUAAAAUUAAUAUUUUUUUGCUUAUGAAGGACAGACGUCUUCCGACUUGCCACCGGCACUGCUCCGCCACCUCUAUUUGUCACUCGCCAUCUCUGAUUGUGGCUCGAAUCUGACUCGAGUCAAGCGUUGUAGACAAAGCUUUCAUCACGGCCUAGAGAGAGAGAGAGAGAGAGAGGGUUGAAUCGUGAGAGGUUGAUUUGAGUCAAGCUCUGUGUGUAGAUCUUGUGACUUUGUGAUUUUAGGUUUAUCACGAUUCGAAUACAGAGAGCUUUGGUGUGUUUCAAAAAAAAAAGAAAAAAAGGGAGAGCUUUGGUAGUCUUGUUUUUUCC